This 253-nucleotide ribosomal RNA is filed under the name uncultured bacterium. RNAcentral's name for it is "partial 16S ribosomal RNA". It matches the Rfam family "Bacterial small subunit ribosomal RNA", at positions 524 to 776 of the family's 1533-position model. The record is from RNAcentral.
UACGUAGGGAGCGAGCGUUGUCCGGAAUUAUUGGGCGUAAAGCGCGUGUAGGCGGCUCGAUAAGUCUGCUGUGAAAGUCCAGGGCUCAACCCUGGAAUGGCGGUGGAUACUGUCGAGCUCGAGUCCGGAAGAGGCGAGUGGAAUUCCUGGUGUAGCGGUGAAAUGCGCAGAUAUCAGGAGGAACACCGAUGGCGAAGGCAGCUCGCUGGGCCGUGACUGACGCUGAGACGCGAAAGCGUGGGGAGCAAACAGG